AGCGCUGGAGCUGACUGGACAACUGGUGCAGGAACACGUUACCGCCAAGCCUUCCCAANCAGNUGCUGAAUACCCUUCCGUAANAGGGAUGAUUAACUACACGUGAACAUAAUCGAAGUGGUAUCAGUUUAUUAUUAUAGCUCCGGCGGUUUUGGAUCUGGCGUGCUGCCUGAUAGGUAAUUGGGUGGGGUAAGGGACCACCAANNCUGGAUCAAUAAGUGGUGUGAGAACAUGACAGUCACACGGGCACUGGNACACNGGCCCGAGCUCCUACGGGAGGACUAUUAGUAAGGAAUAUUGGUCACAUGGGACCGAAAGUCUGAACCUAGUCCAUGUCCAGCGUGCAAUGCGAUGAAGGCCCUCUGGGUUGUAAAGUUACUUNUGAUCUGGGACGAACUAAAGGGNUUUCUACUCANUUGUACUGGUGACCAGAAGGAAUUAAGCACCGUGACUAACUCCGUAGCCAUCAGCCGGAGGUCAAUACGGAGUGGUGCAAGCGUUAUCCGGAUUUACUGGGUUUAAAGGGUGCGUAAGUGGGUNGGUAAGUCAGUGGUGAAAUCUUCGACGUCUUAACUCGGAAAACUGCCAUUGAUUAGCUAU
Molecule: ribosomal RNA, 600 nt
Filed under: uncultured bacterium
Lineage: Bacteria
Description: bacterial SSU rRNA
Rfam family: Bacterial small subunit ribosomal RNA
Source: RNAcentral